This 3582-nucleotide long non-coding RNA is filed under the name Sus scrofa (pig). Its description in RNAcentral is "lncRNA (ENSSSCG00015036044.1)". The record is from RNAcentral. Lineage: Eukaryota; Metazoa; Chordata; Mammalia; Artiodactyla; Suidae.
GAUCAUUUCUAGGUCCAUCCAUGUGGCUGCAAAUGCUGUGUGUCUUUCUUUUGAAUGGCUGCGUAAUAUUCCACUGUGUGUGUGGACCACAUCUUCUGGAUCCCCUCCUCUGUCGAUGGGCAUUUAGGUUGUUUCCAUGUCUUGGCUGUUGUAUAUAGUGCUGCAGUGAACAUCAGAGUCCAUGUGUCUUUGUGAGUCGUGGGUUUCUCUGGAUAGAUGCCCAGGGGUGGGAUUGCUGGAUCAAAUGGUAGUUCUGUUUUUAGUUUUCUGAGGCAUCUCCAUACUGUUUUCCACAGUGGUUGCACCAGUUUACAUUCCCACCAACAGUGUACUAGGGUUCCUUUCUCUCCACGCCCUCCCUAACACUUACUGUUUGUAGGCUUUUUGAUGACAGCCGUUCUGGCUGGUGUAAUACGGUACCUCAUAGUGGUUUUGGUUUGCAUUUCUCUAAUAAUGAGUGAUGUUGAACAUCUUUUCAUGUGUUUUUUGACCAUCUGUAUGUCUUUGGAGAACUGUCUGUUUAGAUCUUCUGCUCAUUUUUUGAUGGGGUGGUUUGUUUGGUAUUGAGCUGCAGAAGGUGUUUAUAAAUUUUGGAGAUUAAUCCCUUGGCAGUCAAUUCAUUUGCAAAGAUUUUUCUCCCAUUCUGUGGAUUGUCUUUUCGUUUUGUUUAGGAUUUCCUUUACUUUGCAGAAACUUUUUAAGUUUAAUUAGGUCCCAUUUGUUAAUUUUUGUUUUUAUUGUCAUUACUCUAGGAGGUGGAUCUGAGAAGGAUAUUGCCAUGGUUUAUGUCAGAGGGUGUUUGGCCUAUAUUUUCCUCUAAGAAUUUUAUAGUAUCUGGUCUUAUAUCUAGAUCUUUAAUCCAUUUGGAGUUUAUUUUUGUGUAUGGUUAGGGAGUGUUCUAAUUUCAUUCUUUUCCAUGUGGCUGUCCAGUUUUCCCAGCACCACUUAUUGAAGGGGCUGUCUUUUCUCCAUUGUAUAUUCUUGCCUCCUUUGUCAGAUUAGUUAACUGUAGCUGCGUGGGUUUAAUUCUGGGCUUUCUAUCCUGCUCCACUGAGCUGUAUUUCUGUCUUUGUGCCAGUACCAUACGGUUUUGAUGACUAUAGCUUUGUAGUAUGGUCUGAACUCAGGGAGCCUGAUUCCUGCGUCUCCAUUUUUCUUUCUCGAGAUGGACUUUGGCUAUUCUGGGGCUUUUGUACCUCCAACCAAACUUUAAAAUAUUUUGUUGAAGUUCUGUGGAAAAUGUUUUUGGUAAUUUGAUAGGGAUUGCAUUGAAUUGGUAGAUUGCCUUGGGUAAUAUAGUCAUUUUGAUAAUAUUGAUUCUUCCAGUCCAAGAGCAUGGUAUGUCUUUCCUUCUGUGUCAUCUUUGAUUUCUUUCAUCAGCAUCUUAUAAUUUUCAGAGAACAGGUCUUUUGUCUCUUUAAGUAGGUAUUUUUCCUAAGUAUCUCAUUCUUUUUGAUGUGAUGGUAAAUGGGAUUGUUUCCCUAAUUUCUCUUUCUGAUCUUUCAUUGCUAGUAUAUAGAAAUGCAGUCAAUUCCUGUGUAUUAAUUUUGUAUCCUGUGACUUUGCCAGAUCCAUUGAUGAGGACUCUUAAGUAAUUCCUGGUACUUAUUCUGGUUUCUUUCCAGAAGGAAGGUGGUAAACCCACUCCAAGAUUUUAAAUCUGCAGUUGGAAUGUAUCUGUCACAUGAAAAUGGGAAGUUGCUGCUUUGGGUCUGUUUUGUUUUGUCUUUAAAUAAACCCUUAUUGUGGAAGGAUUGGAUUCAGACUCAGGCUGGCUCUUUAUUAAUUUGAAUUUAUGGAAUGUUGAAAUGAGUUAAAACGAAUGGCAUCGGGGAAGACCUGAAGUUUGCAAACUGGGAGAGCCCACUUGUGUGUCCAGAGCCCCUGCCAGCUUAGCCCCCUCUCACUUCCCAGGCUGCUGCAACUCCUUGAAGAAACAAAAUAUUUAGGCACAGUGACUUUCACAACGUGGGGGGAAAUAAAUCUCAGAUGAAUAGGAGAUGGAAACUGGGCUGGGCAGGGAAGAGGGUACAGAAACUAGACCAUCGAAUACCUACUAGGUACAGACCCUGCUAGUUGCUUUGCCCCUGGGAACUUUAACCCCUGUGUAGUUUUAUAAAUGAAAACAGGUUUAGAGACAGGGGCAACCCCAAAACCUAUACCUCUGACUCUCACCCUAAUGUUUGUUAAGCGAAUGAAGGAAAUGAGAACAGAGGCUCAGAGAGGUUAGGUGAUUUGCCUGAAGUCACCCAGCAGUUAAGGGGAUCAGGUCAGUUUCACGUCAGUCCUUCGUUCUCAGGUACUCUGUGCCUAGAGUUCCAUCCUGGGAAUUGACCUUGUGUCUUCCACCCAGCUUGGCCUUUUUGAGUCUCUCCUCUGGGCCCAGAGCAGGCUGUAGCUCCAGCACUUGGCUUACCUCCCUGACUGCGAGAGAAACAGGGAAGAGAAAAGAAGCAGAGGCACACCCCCGAGGGCAGAGUAGACUGUGCCCCCACCCCAGCUCUCACAUCCUGUCUCCCUGCAGUACAUACCGGCAUGUAAUUGUGCAACUGCUGGAGUGGGAGCUCUUUGAGGUCAGGAAGCCUGUCUUUGUAACCUCUGUCACCACCAAUUAACAUGGUGUUGGCACUAGGAGGGGUCAGUACACGUCUAGCGGUUAAAAGUCCACAGUACUUAUGUUGAAGGCAUUAGAACGUCUUUAAUUGAAUGUCGCACUCCCUAAUGGUGGGGGCUCAGGUCAUGCUGUCUUGGUUCCCCAGGGCCUAUUAGAAUGCACAGCCAUGUGGGACUUUGAUGGGCAGUGGGAGAACCUGGUUGGAGAAGGUGGCCAGAGGGUGGAGAGUUGAGGGCCAGGAAGAUGGAGCAGGAGAGGGAAGGACAGACGCAUUUCACUGACUUGACAGUUUCGCCUGAUGUUUGUCUGACUAGCCACAAGCAGAAAGUUAUUUUGGGAAACAAAUAAUUUAGCUGUAGGAUAGCCACAGAAAUAUACUUCAAAAUACCAGUCUAGGGAGGUCUCCUGUGGCCGCAGCAGGUUAAGGAUCCCAUGUUGUUGCUGCUGUGGCGCAGGUUUGAUCCCUGGCGUGGGAAUGUCCACGUGCCUCAGGCACGACUGAAAAAACAAACAAAAAAUACCAGUCUAUCCUGCAUUAUUAAAUAGGUGUUACGAUUGUUAAUUUUCGUUCAAAGAGAAGCGGUGUCGUGGAUCUGGAAUCCAGACUCAACUCCAGUUCAUACCAUGCCAGUUUAAAAAGCUGCUUCCUGGAGUUCCCACUGUGAUGCAGUGGCAUUGGCAGCAUCUCUGGGCGCCAGGACGCAGGCUCGACUCCAGCAUUGCCGCAGCUGCAGUGUAGAUCGAAAGUGUGGCCUGGAUCUGGUUCCUGACCCAGGAACUCCAUAAGCUGCGGGGCAGCCAAAAAAAAAAAAAAACCAGCCGGGUCCUUAAAGAAGUCACUUUCUCUCUCUAGGCCUUCGUUACCUCACUUAUGGGAAAAGAGCUACUUGGAGGAUAACAUUAUAGGAAAGAAGUGUGUAAAUUGUAUAAAUUGUAAAACUUGGCUAUAAAUGUUUUAUUUUGUAUUU